GCCAUUCAUAAACAGGAGGAACGUAGUCGUCCCGGCUGGGCACCUCUGCAAAGACGAACUACUCCCGGGGGCGCUUUCUCCGGGGAGAAGUGCACUUGAUGCGUGUGACGGGUCCGGAAACCUAGCGGGGCGGCCGGGCGUGUCCGUGUCCGCCCAGGGCUUAGCAGAGGGUGGCGGGCAUGGCCUGGACGGCGCGGGAUCGAGGGGCCUUAGGGCUGCGACUGCUGCUGUCUGGGCUCUGCUUGUGCAUGGCUCAAGGUGACCGAGGUCCCAAGGGCCCCCCGGGGCCCCCCCGGGUCCUGCUGGAGAACCGGGCAAGCCAGGAGCUCCGGGCAAGCCGGGCACGCCGGGCGCCGACGUGAGUAGGCGGGGCGGGGCGGGGCGGGGCGGGGGCUCUGCGGGAGGGGCGAGGGGUGCAGGCCGCGGGAGCCGGGCUGCCCGCG
RNAcentral lists this long non-coding RNA (443 nucleotides) under Canis lupus familiaris (dog). RNAcentral's name for it is "lncRNA (ENSCAFG00000053534.1)". The record is from RNAcentral. Lineage: Eukaryota; Metazoa; Chordata; Mammalia; Carnivora; Canidae.